Molecule: unclassified non-coding RNA, 272 nt
Filed under: Hevea brasiliensis (rubber tree)
Lineage: Eukaryota; Viridiplantae; Streptophyta; Magnoliopsida; Malpighiales; Euphorbiaceae
Source: RNAcentral
GUUUGAGGAAUUGCUGGAGAAGUUGAAGGUGAAGCCGGAUGUUGUCACGUAUAAUAUAAUGAUUAAGGGGUUGUGUGACAAGGGGGAAUUGGAUAAAGCAGCUGCCUUUGUUAAUGAGAUUGAGAAGAACGGGUUAAAGCCUGAUUUGGUUACCUUUAAUACGAUUCUUGGGGUGUUUUACUCGAAUGGUAAGUUUGAUGAUGGCGAGAAGAUGUGGAAGCUAAUGGUUAGCAAGAAUGUUGCUCCUGAUAUUAGAAGUUACAAUGCUAAGC